This 143-nucleotide transfer RNA is filed under the name Klebsiella pneumoniae. RNAcentral describes it as "tRNA-Lys". It matches the Rfam family "RtT RNA". From Rfam's summary of the family: This family represents a bacterial cis-regulatory element known as RtT RNA. The record is from RNAcentral. Lineage: Bacteria; Pseudomonadati; Pseudomonadota; Gammaproteobacteria; Enterobacterales; Enterobacteriaceae.
GGGUCGUUAGCUCAGUUGGUAGAGCAGUUGACUUUUAAUCAAUUGGUCGCAGGUUNNCUCAGAUGCUGAACGUGAAGGAUAACGUUGCGUCAGCAACGGCCCGAAGGGCGAGGCAAAGCCGAGUCAUCCUGCACGACCUACCA